AUUGAACGCUGGCGGCAGGCCUAACACAUGCAAGUCGAACGGUAACAGGAAGCAGCUUGCUGCUUUGCUGACGAGUGGCGGACGGGUGAGUAAUGUCUGGGAAACUGCCUGAUGGAGGGGGAUAACUACUGGAAACGGUAGCUAAUACCGUAUAACGUCGCAAGACCAAAGAGGGGGACCUUCGGGCCUCUUGCCAUCGGAUGUGCCCAGAUGGGAUUAGCUAGUAGGUGGGGUAACGGCUCACCUAGGCGACGAUCCCUAGCUGGUCUGAGAGGAUGACCAGCCACAAUGGAACUGAGACACGGUCCAGACUCCUACGGGAGGCAGCAGUGGGGAAUAUUGCACAAUGGGCGCAAGCCUGAGGCAGCCAUGCCGCGUGGAUGAAGAAGGCCUUCGGGUUGUAAAGUACUUUCAGCGGGGAGGAAGGGAGUAAAGUUAAUACCUUUGCUCAUUGACGUGACCCGCAGAAGAAGCACCGGAGAACUCCGU
Molecule: ribosomal RNA, 489 nt
Filed under: uncultured bacterium
Lineage: Bacteria
Description: partial 16S ribosomal RNA
Rfam family: Bacterial small subunit ribosomal RNA
Source: RNAcentral